This 440-nucleotide ribosomal RNA is filed under the name uncultured bacterium. RNAcentral's name for it is "partial 16S ribosomal RNA". It matches the Rfam family "Bacterial small subunit ribosomal RNA", at positions 338 to 795 of the family's 1533-position model. The record is from RNAcentral.
CCUACGGGAGGCAGCAGUAGGGAAUUUUGCGCAAUGGGCGAAAGCCUGACGCAGCAACGCCGCGUGAUCGAGACGCCCUUCGGGGUGUAAAGAUCUGUCAGUGGGGACGAAACUUGAUGGUACCCACAGCGGAAGCACCGGCUAACUCCGUGCCAGCAGCCGCGGUAAUACGGGGGGUGCCAGCGUUGUCCGGAAUCAUUGGGCGUAAAGGGUUCGUAGGCGGCACGUAAAGUCUGGUGUUAAAGGCAGAGGCUCAACUUCUGUACGGCACUGGAUACUUGCGAGCUAGAAUGCGGUAGAGGUAAAGGGAAUUCCUGGUGUAGCGGUGAAAUGCUUAGAUAUCAGGAGGAACAUCGGUGGCGUAAGCGCUUUACUGGGCCGUAAUUGACGCUGAGGAACGAAAGCCAGGGUAGCAAAUGGGAUUAGAUACCCGAGUAGUC